This 1449-nucleotide ribosomal RNA is filed under the name Salmonella enterica subsp. enterica. RNAcentral's name for it is "partial 23S ribosomal RNA". It matches the Rfam family "Bacterial large subunit ribosomal RNA", at positions 66 to 1556 of the family's 2925-position model. Lineage: Bacteria; Pseudomonadati; Pseudomonadota; Gammaproteobacteria; Enterobacterales; Enterobacteriaceae. The record is from RNAcentral.
CUGCGAUAAGCGCCGGUAAGGUGAUAUGAACCGUUAUAACCGGCGAUACCCGAAUGGGGAAACCCAGUGUGACUCGUCACACUAUCAUUAACUGAAUCCAUAGGUUAAUGAGGCGAACCGGGGGAACUGAAACAUCUAAGUACCCCGAGGAAAAGAAAUCAACCGAGAUUCCCCCAGUAGCGGCGAGCGAACGGGGAGGAGCCCAGAGCCUGAAUCAGCAUGUGUGUUAGUGGAAGCGUCUGGAAAGGCGCGCGAUACAGGGUGACAGCCCCGUACACAAAAGCGCAUGUGCUGUGAGCUCGAUGAGUAGGGCGGGACACGUGGUAUCCUGUCUGAAUAUGGGGGGACCAUCCUCCAAGGCUAAAUACUCCUGACUGACCGAUAGUGAACCAGUACCGUGAGGGAAAGGCGAAAAGAACCCCGGCGAGGGGAGUGAAAAAGAACCUGAAACCGUGUACGUACAAGCAGUGGGAGCACCCUUUGGGGUGUGACUGCGUACCUUUUGUAUAAUGGGUCAGCGACUUAUAUUCUGUAGCAAGGUUAACCGAAUAGGGGAGCCGGAGGGAAACCGAGUCUUAAUUGGGCGUUAAGUUGCAGGGUAUAGACCCGAAACCCGGUGAUCUAGCCAUGGGCAGGUUGAAGGUUGGGUAACACUAACUGGAGGACCGAACCGACUAAUGUUGAAAAAUUAGCGGAUGACCUGUGGCUGGGGGUGAAAGGCCAAUCAAACCGGGAGAUAGCUGGUUCUCCCCGAAAGCUAUUUAGGUAGCGCCUCGUGAAUUCAUCUCCGGGGGUAGAGCACUGUUUCGGCUAGGGGGCCAUCCCGGCUUACCAACCCGAUGCAAACUGCGAAUACCGGAGAAUGUUAUCACGGGAGACACACGGCGGGUGCUAACGUCCGUCGUGAAGAGGGAAACAACCCAGACCGCCAGCUAAGGUCCCAAAGUCAUGGUUAAGUGGGAAACGAUGUGGGAAGGCCCAGACAGCCAGGAUGUUGGCUUAGAAGCAGCCAUCAUUUAAAGAAAGCGUAAUAGCUCACUGGUCGAGUCGGCCUGCGCGGAAGAUGUAACGGGGCUAAACCAUGCACCGAAGCUGCGGCAGCGACGCUGAUGCGUUGUUGGGUAGGGGAGCGUUCUGUAAGCCUGCGAAGGUGGCCUGUGAGGGUUGCUGGAGGUAUCAGAAGUGCGAAUGCUGACAUAAGUAACGAUAAAGCGGGUGAAAAGCCCGCUCGCCGGAAGACCAAGGGUUCCUGUCCAACGUUAAUCGGGGCAGGGUGAGUCGACCCCUAAGGCGAGGCCGAAAGGCGUAGUCGAUGGGAAACGGGUUAAUAUUCCCGUACUUGGUGUUACUGCGAAGGGGGGACGGAGAAGGCUAUGUUGGCCGGGCGACGGUUGUCCCGGUUUAAGCGUGUAGGUGUGUGUUCCAGGUAAAUCCGGUUCACUUUAACAC